Molecule: long non-coding RNA, 291 nt
Organism: Polyodon spathula (Mississippi paddlefish)
Lineage: Eukaryota; Metazoa; Chordata; Actinopteri; Acipenseriformes; Polyodontidae
Exons: 3
Source: RefSeq, a predicted model, not a curated record
GGGAUUGGCUGCAUCGUCAGGAAGGGGGAGUGGCUGAAGAAGCUGGGAGUUGGCCUGGCCUAUGACUAUGUGGGAACCAAGGACAGCAUCAUGAUCUGCAUCUCUGACCUCACGGUGACCACCCACCUGCUGGACAUGACCAGCCCCCUGGCCAUCACCAGCCUGACAGCACCCACCACGACAUGGUCGUCACGAGGCUGGGAGACAAGCUGGACGGGGUGCUCUGUGACGGAGACUCCACGGAACUCGUGUCCUCCACUGUUGUCAUCUGCACCAAGAUUGAUGAAGGUA